Pteropus vampyrus (large flying fox) is the source of this 176-nucleotide non-coding RNA. Lineage: Eukaryota; Metazoa; Chordata; Mammalia; Chiroptera; Pteropodidae. The record is from Rfam.
CCCGCAUGGCUCAUAUCCAUGGCAAAUACAGAAAGUAAUGAGAACAGGAUCUUAAUAAACGUGCAGCCAGCCAACCGAAUCAUUAAAAAACAACCACAAAAUAAACAAAAACCUCACUCUUCAGGAACAAAAAUUAUAUUUUGCUGGAAAGGUUACAGUCCUUGAGUUGUUUUGAG